UCCGAAACUUGGCUAGAAAA
Molecule: non-coding RNA, 20 nt
Filed under: Gossypium hirsutum (cotton)
Lineage: Eukaryota; Viridiplantae; Streptophyta; Magnoliopsida; Malvales; Malvaceae
Source: RNAcentral